GCCUGGAUAGCUCAGUCGGUAGAGCAGGGGAUUGAAAAUCCCCGUGUCCUUGGUUCGAUUCCGAGUCCGGGCACCA
RNAcentral lists this transfer RNA (76 nucleotides) under Escherichia coli. RNAcentral's name for it is "tRNA-Phe". It matches the Rfam family "tRNA". Rfam says of the family: Transfer RNA (tRNA) molecules are approximately 80 nucleotides in length. Their secondary structure includes four short double-helical elements and three loops (D, anti-codon, and T loops). Further hydrogen bonds mediate the characteristic L-shaped molecular structure. tRNAs have two regions of fundamental functional importance: the anti-codon, which is responsible for specific mRNA codon recognition, and the 3' end, to which the tRNAs corresponding amino acid is attached (by aminoacyl-tRNA synthetases). tRNAs cope with the degeneracy of the genetic code in two manners: having more than one tRNA (with a specific anti-codon) for a particular amino acid; and 'wobble' base-pairing, i.e. permitting non-standard base-pairing at the 3rd anti-codon position. Lineage: Bacteria; Pseudomonadati; Pseudomonadota; Gammaproteobacteria; Enterobacterales; Enterobacteriaceae. RNAcentral also lists the same sequence under 9 other names. The record is from RNAcentral.